This 24-nucleotide unclassified non-coding RNA is filed under the name Mus musculus (house mouse). RNAcentral's name for it is "oocyte_clustered_small_RNA712". The record is from RNAcentral. Lineage: Eukaryota; Metazoa; Chordata; Mammalia; Rodentia; Muridae.
UGGACCCUCCAGAGACUGCCCUGC